UGUUCUCUCUUUCGGUUUGUUGUGCAAAGCCAUGAUACGACAAAACAUGAGAUGAGGCUGAAAUAGGAAUAGGAGAACUUCACUUUGUAAGUGAUAAGACAACUAAUAUAUUCAUUCAAACUGCUGUCACAGUUGACUUCAAUGUUAAACUGUAAUUGUGAUACGAGAAAACAGUGGACACUCUUUUGAAGAAAAAACAAAAAUACUCAUCUGAUGAAACUUCACUGACGCUGGACACCCUCUACACAGGGAAGUAUGGCCGACCAAAGCCAGAAAAGCAGUUUCUAUAACGGUUACAAUGACAAUCGAUCAUCCACAACAGGACCACCUGUCUCAAGCAACACCUCAAGUAUGUCCCAGGGGCUCGCCGGGGCCGGAUGCAGAGUGGAUACUCCUGUACAAGGGACUUCUGCUGGUCAUGCAUCAUUGAUGGGACAGCAAGAUGUUAGGAGGUCCGAUGCAGAUCGUGGUCAUCAGGCCUGUGGUGGGGCAACUGCAGAUGGCGCUGAUUGUUUUGGAGAAAAGAGAUAUGACACCGGCCUUGGAAUAAAUGUGCGCAUAUAUUCCGGCGACAUAUCUAAAUCUGAAGCAGAUGCCAUCACAACUGGAGAGGGACUACAAGUUAUUCUUAUGAGUCAGGUGACAAGAUCUAUUGCUCAUCUUCUUGGAACGCCAUUUGAAGAAAGAAGAGAAAAAUUGUUUACAACAAAUGGAGGACAUUUAAAGGGAGGGGAAGUGUAUGUUACAAACAUAAAAAGUGAUCUUGUUAAAUACCAAUAUGUGCUGCACACGGUCGUACUUGUUAAUCGUGGCUCUAUCAGCGAUGUCAGAAGGCUGUAUUGCAAAGUGCUUGAAAGAUCAGAUCUCCUCAAAGUGGAUACAGUAGCUGUUCCAUUGCUGGGUACAGGCAGCGGUCAAAUCGGUCAAGAGGAUGCCAUCAGAGCAUUGGCAGAUGGCCUACACCGCUAUGCAAUAGACAGGCUUAAAAGAUAUACUAAGCCUCUCAAUGUAGAGAUUGUGACACCACAAGUGAAACUUAUAGAUAUUGUCUACAAGGAAAUUGAGAAGUGUUUUAACAGCCAACCAGCUCCUGCAUCAACACAAAACAGUGGCACACUAAUGUCGAAGACAUCAUCCAAGAAACAUCUACAAGGUUCCGCUGAACACACAACGCACAGAGCUUCUGGUCACAAAUGCUCUGAUCGAAGCUAUACAUGGAAUAAAGGCCCACAGCUGAGAUCAAAUCGACUCACAACAGUAAGUAACGGCGCUAUGGUCGCUGCCUUUGACACUGAGAAAGCCGGCACUGGUGCCAUCCAUGGUCUAUACCAUGAGCCAGGAAUGACCAAUUUGCAAACCAGAACUGCAGAUCUCUCUCUUGGUUGUGAUGUUCCCAGUAGAAAGCCCCAUGGGCACAGCAGUGGUAAUGAUGCUGGAGACACUCCUCAUCUGGGAACCAGUUCGGGAUGGGGAGGACAAUGCAAUGAAACUUCCAGUUCAGGUGGAGAUCAAGACGGUUUGGAAGAGACAGACAGAGUUAUUCCUGAAGAGCAGCCUGACCUGAAGGUUACUGAUGUCGGCAGGGCAGAGGAAGAAACGUGCCCAAUCUGUAUGGACUUGAUCCAAAAUAUGAAAGUGUUGGGCAAAUGUGGUCAUAAAUUUUGCCAAAAAUGCAUUGAAGACUGCUUCAGGAGCUGUAAGCCCAUCUGUCCAACGUGUCUGACUGUGUAUGACGUCAUCACUGGCAACAUGCCACAAGGGACGAUGUCUGUGAAUACAGCAUCCUUCCCCAGCCUACCUGGAUACGAGGGGUGUGGCUUCCUCACCAUACAGUACCAUUUCCCAGAUGGUUGGCAGACACACAAUCAUCCCCAUCCAGGCCGACGUUACCAUGGAACAUCACGUGUAGCCUUCUUGCCAGCUAAUGGAGAGGGGCGGAAGGUGUGCCGACUUCUCCAACUGGCCUUUGAUCGAAAACUGACUUUCACAGUGGGAAGGUCAGCGACCACUGGCCGCGAUGACGUGGUCACCUGGAACGACAUCCACCACAAGACGAACGUGGAUGGUGGUCCCACCAGAUUCGGAUACCCAGACGACACCUACUUGUUUCGGGUCCAGGAGGAGCUGGCCAGUAAAGGUGUCACGGAGGAUCAGCUGUAGCACACACACACCCACCAGUUGGUGUCACCGAGAGACAGCUGUACUUCACCAGCUCUGACAGGAUCUCUCACACACAUCCCUGCUGUCACCGAGAGACAGCUGUACUUCACCAGCUCUGACAGGAUCUCUCACACACAUCCCUGCUGUCACCGAGAGACAGCUGUACUUCACCAGCUCUGACAGGAUCUCUCACACACAUCCCUGCUUUCACCGAGAGACAGCUGUACUACACUAGCUCUGACAGGAUCUCUCACACACAUCCCUGCUGUCACCGAGAGACAGCUGUACUUCACUAGCUCUGACAGGAUCUCUCACACACAUCCCUGCUGUCACCGAGAGACAGCUGUACUACACCAGCUCUGACAGGAUCUCUCACACACAUCCCUGCUCCCAGGAGUGGCAACGGAUGGCCCUGUUGCCUAAUCCACUGUGCAGAGUUGUGUCCCUUAGGUGGGCCCUGUAUCAUGGGUUCGAAUCCCAGAAUGCCUUGCUUGUAGAAUUCCUGUCAGUGACAACAGCGGACACAAUACUCCUAUUACACAGUAUUUAUUGAACAUGUAUCACACUUAUUUGUUCACAAUAGGGUACCCUAGAUCACACAGAAACUGCAAAGUUUUUCUUAUUUUGGUCACCAUAAAAUAAAAAGUAAAUGGAAACAGCUGAUUGUCCACGUGCCUUUACAUUAUUAAAAGUUGGUGCUAUUUCGGACAACUCUAAUUAUUUAUAACAUUGAACACGUUGAAUAGUGCACGUGAAGUGAGAAAUGUUGAUCUCUGAGAGUCUACAGACAGUGCGAAUAGUCUAAACAAAAUGUUUUCCAAAGGAGGAAUCAACAAUCAUGUAUGUAUCGCGGUAGAAAUCAAGCUCGGUAUCAUGAGGUAUUGUUUCCAGCUCCCAAGUGAUGACAUCAUAGAUCACCUGUUGUCUUGAAUACUGAAUGGGACCUGUUGAUGUUACGUUGCUGACACAGUGUCAAUCAUGUUUUUAUGCCUAACCUCACAUCAUACUGUCCUACCUGUGAUCUAUUUAAUAGCAUUUCAUAAUGUAUUAUGGUGAGUCAUUUCCGGAGCACAACUUGAAAACUGUGAAAGACUUUUUUAUCAAAACCUGGUACAUUUAUUAACCAAGGGCAGAAGUGGUUCCUUUUACUAUUUGGGAAUUUUUCAAAAUUUCAUUUUUCCCUGUAUCCAUGAAAACAAGUUAGACUUAGCUGAAAUGGAGGUAGGUGUCGUUUCCGGAACAGAAUUAUAAAACUGUUCAACAUUUAUCAUCCAAACUUGGUACAUGUACACAUAUUAAACAAGGGCUGAAGAGGUGCUUUUGCUAUUUAGGACAUUUAUAUUUUUUCCUGUUUUGCAAGGCAACAAGUUUGACUUUGACUGUGUUCAUUGUGGUGUCCUUGUCCAGACCAUGUCUCUAAAACCAAUAGCUAUUCUUUCAUGGCACUUUGCACACACAAGACCAGUUUGUCAGAUGGUGCCUUUUGCAAUUUAGGGCUGUUUAGCAUUUAUAUUUUUUCAUUUCUAUGGCAGCACGUUUGACUUUGACUCUCUUCACAGCGAUAGAAACUAACUGUUUUAGUCCACUAGUCCUUGUAAUUAAAACAUAUAGCAAAACCCUUAAUAAUGGCAAAUUUCUACUACCUUAUGAUACCUUAACUAUUGGGCAGUUUGGCAAGGACUAUAUGCCAAUAUCUAACACUGCUUCUUAGAAAUGUGUUUCUCCAGACUAUAUUUCUAAAACCAAUAGGCACUCUUUUUAAAGCUAUGCACACACAAAGACCAGGUUGUCAACUGGUGCCUUUUGCUAUUUAGGGAUUUUUAGAAUAUAUAUUUUUUGUUUCCAUGGCAACGCGUUAUAUUUUUACUGUUCUUAGUGGUGUGUACUUGACAUAGAAAUACAAAGUUCUGUAUCCUUAUUCCAUGGUAUUGUUUUGAUAGCACAAUAACUACUCUUGUACAAGGACAGACAGAUUAGAUAGAAGUUCUCUCAUCAAAUUGGACUUUGAGUAAGAGUCAAACAAUUUGUUCUUUUUUUCAUUUGUGGUGGCUGGGGGAAUUUGUCAUCUUCUGAUGACUUUUGUUUAUUGAGCAACCUGUUUGUUUGUUUGAUUAUAUUUAGUAUAUUAAGUCAGAUUAACCAGCCAUGAUCAAUGCACUGUUUUCUAUACUCUAUAAAUACCAGAUUAUUAACACUUUUCUCAGAAUGAUCACAAUCUGAUACUUGUAAACAUCAAUGAUUUCUCUCUUGAAAAGUUUAUUAUAGUAGAUGAGAGCAAUGUCUACAUAGUUGCAAAUCUUGUCACUGCUACGAUUGAUAAACCUAUUUUGUGGGAAACAGGAUGUUUCCUGUAACAAAUGUUACAUUUGGGAUAACACUUUCUUAGUAAAUACAGAUUCUCGUACAUUUUGGGUUGAGUCCCGUCCUGGAUUCGAACCCACACUGCCAGAGUGAGGAAGGGAGUUAACCAAAAAAGUACGAGAAUCUGUAUUUACUAAGAAAGUGUUAUCCCAAAUGUAACAUUUAUUACAUUUGACCACUUUCUAAAUGGCAUUGUGUGUUCAUAAGAUGUUUCCUAUUUGGAAAUAACAUGUGGACACCAAUGACAUGAUCACUCUCCCCACUCCCUGAAGAAAUGGUACCCUUGUAUUAUGUAUACUACUCAAGGGAAGUUAAGGAGCACCCGACUCUUUCUUAUUACUUCAUAUUAAGUCAUGCCACGAGGGAUUAACUAUCAUAUGAAAGAAAUGGAUGUUCUUUGUGGUAUUGUCAAGACUACUACCACAUCUAUGAUACAAUUAUAAGUAGUCAUGCCCCUAACAGUAUAGCUUGUACUUCCUGUGUGCUGGGCAUGUAGGUAAUAGUCAGUACACCGCGGUGUAUAGAAGUCUCACAUUCUUUAACAUCUCUUGAAUAGUAUACAUGUAUAUCCCUGUCUGGCUGUCAAAUGAAAAUGACAAAAUGGAAGCUUUCAUUCAAUAGUUUAUGGACGAGAAACCUCAUGCCUCAGAGACCAUCAUGAGAUUAUUGCUAUAUUGCUGACUAUGCAAUCUUGUUACUCGUUUAUGGUUGGUGAGUUACAGUUGAAAAUUCUCAAGUUUGUUUCCCCUUCCAGUUCAAAGAGGAUAGGGAUGUGAUGUUUUGGUGAAUUUGAUAUUGGAUAUUGUGUGAUUUUCAUAUUAGGACUCUGUAACAUUUCGGAAUUGAUGUGUGUUUUGACAGCUGUUUCAAGACAUGGGAAUCUGUCAUUGAGUACCAGUUAGAGUUAUCUCCCUUUGUCUUCAUUAUCACAAGCUCCAUCCCAGGAUGUGACACCUUCAUAACCCUCCUGUAGGGCUGGGACGAGUCCAAAUAUAUAUGUUGCUGAGUGAGGGGUUAAACAACAAACAAACAAAUGUUAGAGGAGUGAAAGUAAAGUUGACAUCAGCAUGUCCAAAUGUGGCCUUAUCUACCUUUUACUGUUUCUGACACAGAAGUAUGAUCAAUGUACAAGGUCCUCCAGGUCUGAUGUUCACAGCCUUCUCUUGCUUGUAUAUAUGUAUAGUGGAGUCAAGCUAAACAAUAGUUAAUGUAUAUGUUUAUUAAAGUUUGAUAAAACUCA
Molecule: unclassified non-coding RNA, 5761 nt
Filed under: Haliotis rufescens (red abalone)
Lineage: Eukaryota; Metazoa; Mollusca; Gastropoda; Lepetellida; Haliotidae
Description: uncharacterized LOC124139724, transcript variant X1
Source: RNAcentral